This 276-nucleotide unclassified non-coding RNA is filed under the name Amanita muscaria (fly agaric). RNAcentral describes it as "partial internal transcribed spacer region". The stretch from base 1 to 46 matches the Rfam family "Eukaryotic small subunit ribosomal RNA", at positions 1786 to 1831 of the family's 1831-position model. The record is from RNAcentral. Lineage: Eukaryota; Fungi; Basidiomycota; Agaricomycetes; Agaricales; Amanitaceae.
AAGUCGUAACAAGGUUUCCGUAGGUGAACCUGCGGAAGGAUCAUUAUUGAAAGAAACCUCAGGCAGGGGGAGGUGGUUGUAGCUGGCCCUUAGGGGCAUGUGCACACCGUUGUCUCUCUUGCUUGUUUCUUCAUUCUCUCCACUUGUGCACUGCUUGUAGGCAGCCCUGGCAUUGUUCAGGUUGUCUAUGAUUUUCUUUACAUACAUGAACACUUGUUGUACAGAAUGUGAUAAAAAAUAGUAAUACAACUUUCAACAACGGAUCUCUUGGCUCUC